This 742-nucleotide ribosomal RNA is filed under the name uncultured Planctomycetota bacterium. Its description in RNAcentral is "bacterial SSU rRNA". It matches the Rfam family "Bacterial small subunit ribosomal RNA", at positions 552 to 1288 of the family's 1533-position model. Lineage: Bacteria; Pseudomonadati; Planctomycetota. The record is from RNAcentral.
AAUUCGCCCUUGAGCACGUAGGUGGGUUUGUAAGUCAGGUGUGAAAGCCUUCUGUUCAACGGGAGAAUUGCAUCUGAAACUACGAAUCUUGAGUGUAGGAGGGGAGAAUGGAACUCCUGGCGGAGCGGUGAAAUGCGUAGAUAUCAGAAGGAACGCCGGCGGCGAAAGCGAUUCUCUGGCCUAUUACUGACACUCAGUGUGCGAAAGCUAGGGGAGCAAACGGGAUUAGAUACCCCGGUAGUCCUAGCCGUAAACGAUGGGCACUAAGUAGAGGGGAUUACCGACGUUCUCUCUGCCGUAGCUAACGCAUUAAGUGCCCCGCCUGGGGAGUACGGCCGCAAGGCUAAAACUCAAAAGAAUUGACGGGGGCUCGCACAAGCGGUGGAGCAUGUGGCUUAAUUCGAUGCAACGCGAGGAACCUUACCGGGGCUUGACAUGGUAGAAGUAGGAACCCGAAAGGGUAACGAACGGUAUCCAGUCCGUAGCUAUCACAGGUGUUGCAUGGCUGUCGUCAGCUCGUGUCGUGAGACGUUGGGUUAAGUCCCCUAACGAGCGAAACCCUUGUUUUUAGUUACCAGCGGGUUAUGCCGGGUACUCUAGAAAGACUGCCGUCGUCAAGACGGAGGAAGGUGGGGAUGACGUCAAGUCAUCAUGGCCCUUAUGCCCCGGGCUGCACACGUGCUACAAUGGUCGGUACAAACGGAAGCGAAGCCGAGAGGUGAAGCGAAUCCAAGGGCGAAUU